Bos taurus (domestic cattle) is the source of this 1011-nucleotide long non-coding RNA. Lineage: Eukaryota; Metazoa; Chordata; Mammalia; Artiodactyla; Bovidae. The record is from Ensembl.
CUUCAGCACACUGUUCGUGGACUUGGGGUGUUGGUGUGGCAGUUCUGUACCGGAAACUCUUAAGGCCUCUGCAUAUGGCUCCCUAGAGCGACAGCCCACCAGGCUCCCCCGUCCCUGGGAUUCUCCAAGCAAGAACUCUGGAGUGGGUUGCCAUUUCCUUCUUCAAUGCAUGAAAGGGAAAAGUGAAAGUGAAGUUGCUCAGUCAUGUCUGACUCUUCGCGACCCCAUGGACUGCAGCCCACCAGGCUCCUCUGCCCAUGGGAUUUUCCAGAAUUUACAAGAGCCCAAAGAAUUGAUGCUUUUGAACUGUGGUGUUGGAAAAGACUCUUGAGAGUCACUUGGACUGCAAGGAGAUCCAACCAGUCCAUUGUGAAGGAGAUCAGCUCUGGGAUUUCUUUGGAAGGAAUGAUGCUAAAGCUGAAACUCCAGUACUUUGGCCACCUCAUGCGAAGAGUUGACUCAUUGGAAAAGUCUCUGAUGCUGGGAGGGAUUGGGGGCAGGAGGAGAAGGGAACGACAGAGGAUGAGAUGGCUGGAUGGCAUCACUGAGUCGAUGGACGUGAGUCUGAGUGAACUCCGGGAGUUGGUGAUGGACAGGGAGGCCUGGCGUGCUGCCAUUCAUGGGGUCGCAAAGAGUCGGACAUGACUAAGCAACUGAUCUGAUCUGAAAAUACAUGUCUUAUUGCUUAGUGAAAGUGAAAGUGAAAUUGCUCAGUCGUAUCCGACUCUUUGCGACCCCAUGGACUGUAGCCUACCAGGUUCCACCAUCCAUGGGAUUUUCCAGGCAAGAACACUGGAAUGGGUUGCCAUUUCCUUCUCCCGGAGAUCUUCCUGACCCAGGGAUUGAACCCGGGUCUCCCGCAUUGUAGGCAGACGCUUUACCAUCUGAGCCACCAGGGAAGUCAACUCCCAAACCCCCACCCUACUCCUAUGAAUGAGCCAAUGCAUAUUUCAUUUUCUAAGUGAAACUGCAUGAGAUUUAUUAUACCACAAAUGUUCAUUAGGUGUAAGC